RNAcentral lists this microRNA precursor (210 nucleotides) under Oryza glumipatula. RNAcentral describes it as "MIR812 microRNA precursor family". It matches the Rfam family "MIR812 microRNA precursor family", at positions 1 to 161 of the family's 205-position model. The record is from Rfam by way of RNAcentral. Lineage: Eukaryota; Viridiplantae; Streptophyta; Magnoliopsida; Poales; Poaceae.
AAAAAGGCAAACACUGGGUUUCCGUGUCCAACUUUGACUGUCCGUCUUAUAUGAAAUUUUUUUAUAAUUCGUAUUUUUAUUAUUGUUAGAUGAUAAAACAUGAUUAAUAUUUUAUACGUGACUUGUCUUUUUAAUUUUUUUUAGACCUGACAGUCUGCAUUGUCGCUGGCAGUUUUGGAUGGGACACGAGAAAAAGAGGGCAAACUGAGC